This 49-nucleotide transfer RNA is filed under the name Oxylebius pictus. RNAcentral's name for it is "partial tRNA-Val". The record is from RNAcentral. Lineage: Eukaryota; Metazoa; Chordata; Actinopteri; Perciformes; Hexagrammidae.
GCAUCUCCCUUACACUGAGAAGUCCCCUGUGCAAAUCGGGGCACCCUGA